This is a non-coding RNA of Oryza meridionalis, 204 nucleotides long. The record is from Rfam. NCBI's taxonomy places the organism in Eukaryota, Viridiplantae, Streptophyta, Magnoliopsida, Poales, Poaceae.
CUUCCCAACAACAAUGAGUUUCCGUGUCAACUUUAAUCUUCCGUCUUAUUUGAAUUUUUUUUAUAAUUAAUAGUUUUGUUGUUAUGAGAUGAUAAAACAUAAAUAGUACUUUAUGCAUGACUUAUGUUUUUAAAUUUUUUUAUUUUUUUUUCAAAUAAAACGGACAAUCAAAGUCGAGCACGGAAAAUUAUGGCUGCACUUAAA